This 553-nucleotide ribosomal RNA is filed under the name Mikrogeophagus altispinosus. RNAcentral's name for it is "partial 16S ribosomal RNA". It matches the Rfam family "Bacterial large subunit ribosomal RNA", at positions 1845 to 2587 of the family's 2925-position model. The record is from RNAcentral. Lineage: Eukaryota; Metazoa; Chordata; Actinopteri; Cichliformes; Cichlidae.
AUAAGAGGUCCCGCCUGCCCUGUGACCCUAAGUUUAACGGCCGCGGUAUUUUGACCGUGCAAAGGUAGCGCAAUCACUUGUCUUUUAAAUGGAGACCCGUAUGAAUGGCACCACGAGGGUUUAACUGUCUCCUUUUUCCUGUCAAUGAAAUUGAUCUCCCCGUGCAGAAGCGGGGGUACACCCAUAAGACGAGAAGACCCUAUGGAGCUUCAGGCUCAAAAGCAGACUAAGGCAAACACCCUCAAAACAACAAAGCGGUGAACUUAUUAGCCCCUGCUUUUCAUGCCUUUGGUUGGGGCGACCGCGGGGGACCAAACAACCCCCACGUGGACUGGGAGAACACCUGUCUCCCAAAACUGAGGGCCACACCCCCAAGUAGUAGAAUUUCUAACCAUAUGAUCCGGCACUAGACCGAUCAACGAACCCAGUUACCCUAGGGAUAACAGCGCAAUCCCCUUUUUGAGCCCAUAUCGACAAGGGGGUUUACGACCUCGAUGUUGGAUCAGGACAUCCUAUUGGUGCAGCCGCUAUUAAGGGUUCGUUUGUUCAACGA